RNAcentral lists this long non-coding RNA (251 nucleotides) under Homo sapiens (human). RNAcentral describes it as "non-protein coding lnc-SPAG1-3:9". Lineage: Eukaryota; Metazoa; Chordata; Mammalia; Primates; Hominidae. The record is from RNAcentral.
AUCAUUAUUGAUUUUGUAAUGCAAUGCCAAGACCAUCAGUAAGGUUAUGUGAAGUUGGCAGUUCCCAAGGGCUUUAGGCUUGAAGCUGUGGGUCAUACCCCUUCGGAAACUUGGUCCCCAAGAGAAAUGUAUGCUUCUGAAAACCACAGGUGCAUGAAUCGUGUUUAGUAAAUGACUACUAAACUGAAAUCAGGACUUGUCUAUAUCUUGGCUUCUCAAACUUGAAUAUGCUUAUCAUCUGGAUAGCAAAA